RNAcentral lists this ribosomal RNA (2904 nucleotides) under Escherichia coli. Its description in RNAcentral is "23S ribosomal RNA". It matches the Rfam family "Bacterial large subunit ribosomal RNA". Lineage: Bacteria; Pseudomonadati; Pseudomonadota; Gammaproteobacteria; Enterobacterales; Enterobacteriaceae. The record is from RNAcentral.
UUAAGCGACUAAGCGUACACGGUGGAUGCCCUGGCAGUCAGAGGCGAUGAAGGACGUGCUAAUCUGCGAUAAGCGUCGGUAAGGUGAUAUGAACCGUUAUAACCGGCGAUUUCCGAAUGGGGAAACCCAGUGUGAUUCGUCACACUAUCAUUAACUGAAUCCAUAGGUUAAUGAGGCGAACCGGGGGAACUGAAACAUCUAAGUACCCCGAGGAAAAGAAAUCAACCGAGAUUCCCCCAGUAGCGGCGAGCGAACGGGGAGCAGCCCAGAGCCUGAAUCAGUGUGUGUGUUAGUGGAAGCGUCUGGAAAGGCGCGCGAUACAGGGUGACAGCCCCGUACACAAAAAUGCACAUACUGUGAGCUCGAUGAGUAGGGCGGGACACGUGGUAUCCUGUCUGAAUAUGGGGGGACCAUCCUCCAAGGCUAAAUACUCCUGACUGACCGAUAGUGAACCAGUACCGUGAGGGAAAGGCGAAAAGAACCCCGGCGAGGGGAGUGAAAAAGAACCUGAAACCGUGUACGUACAAGCAGUGGGAGCACAGAGCAAUCUGUGUGACUGCGUACCUUUUGUAUAAUGGGUCAGCGACUUAUAUUCUGUAGCAAGGUUAACCGAAUAGGGGAGCCGAAGGGAAACCGAGUCUUAACUGGGCGUUAAGUUGCAGGGUAUAGACCCGAAACCCGGUGAUCUAGCCAUGGGCAGGUUGAAGGUUGGGUAACACUAACUGGAGGACCGAACCGACUAAUGUUGAAAAAUUAGCGGAUGACUUGUGGCUGGGGGUGAAAGGCCAAUCAAACCGGGAGAUAGCUGGUUCUCCCCGAAAGCUAUUUAGGUAGCGCCUCGUGAAUUCAUCUCCGGGGGUAGAGCACUGUUUCGGCAAGGGGGUCAUCCCGACUUACCAACCCGAUGCAAACUGCGAAUACCGGAGAAUGUUAUCACGGGAGACACACGGCGGGUGCUAACGUCCGUCGUGAAGAGGGAAACAACCCAGACCGCCAGCUAAGGUCCCAAAGUCAUGGUUAAGUGGGAAACGAUGUGGGAAGGCCCAGACAGCCAGGAUGUUGGCUUAGAAGCAGCCAUCAUUUAAAGAAAGCGUAAUAGCUCACUGGUCGAGUCGGCCUGCGCGGAAGAUGUAACGGGGCUAAACCAUGCACCGAAGCUGCGGCAGCGACGCUUAUGCGUUGUUGGGUAGGGGAGCGUUCUGUAAGCCUGUGAAGGUGUACUGUGAGGUAUGCUGGAGGUAUCAGAAGUGCGAAUGCUGACAUAAGUAACGAUAAAGCGGGUGAAAAGCCCGCUCGCCGGAAGACCAAGGGUUCCUGUCCAACGUUAAUCGGGGCAGGGUGAGUCGACCCCUAAGGCGAGGCCGAAAGGCGUAGUCGAUGGGAAACAGGUUAAUAUUCCUGUACUUGGUGUUACUGCGAAGGGGGGACGGAGAAGGCUAUGUUGGCCGGGCGACGGUUGUCCCGGUUUAAGCGUGUAGGCUGGUUUUCCAGGCAAAUCCGGAAAAUCAAGGCUGAGGCGUGAUGACGAGGCACUACGGUGCUGAAGCAACAAAUGCCCUGCUUCCAGGAAAAGCCUCUAAGCAUCAGGUAACAUCAAAUCGUACCCCAAACCGACACAGGUGGUCAGGUAGAGAAUACCAAGGCGCUUGAGAGAACUCGGGUGAAGGAACUAGGCAAAAUGGUGCCGUAACUUCGGGAGAAGGCACGCUGAUAUGUAGGUGAAGCGACUUGCUCGUGGAGCUGAAAUCAGUCGAAGAUACCAGCUGGCUGCAACUGUUUAUUAAAAACACAGCACUGUGCAAACACGAAAGUGGACGUAUACGGUGUGACGCCUGCCCGGUGCCGGAAGGUUAAUUGAUGGGGUUAGCGCAAGCGAAGCUCUUGAUCGAAGCCCCGGUAAACGGCGGCCGUAACUAUAACGGUCCUAAGGUAGCGAAAUUCCUUGUCGGGUAAGUUCCGACCUGCACGAAUGGCGUAAUGAUGGCCAGGCUGUCUCCACCCGAGACUCAGUGAAAUUGAACUCGCUGUGAAGAUGCAGUGUACCCGCGGCAAGACGGAAAGACCCCGUGAACCUUUACUAUAGCUUGACACUGAACAUUGAGCCUUGAUGUGUAGGAUAGGUGGGAGGCUUUGAAGUGUGGACGCCAGUCUGCAUGGAGCCGACCUUGAAAUACCACCCUUUAAUGUUUGAUGUUCUAACGUGGACCCGUAAUCCGGGUUGCGGACAGUGUCUGGUGGGUAGUUUGACUGGGGCGGUCUCCUCCUAAAGAGUAACGGAGGAGCACGAAGGUUGGCUAAUCCUGGUCGGACAUCAGGAGGUUAGUGCAAUGGCAUAAGCCAGCUUGACUGCGAGCGUGACGGCGCGAGCAGGUGCGAAAGCAGGUCAUAGUGAUCCGGUGGUUCUGAAUGGAAGGGCCAUCGCUCAACGGAUAAAAGGUACUCCGGGGAUAACAGGCUGAUACCGCCCAAGAGUUCAUAUCGACGGCGGUGUUUGGCACCUCGAUGUCGGCUCAUCACAUCCUGGGGCUGAAGUAGGUCCCAAGGGUAUGGCUGUUCGCCAUUUAAAGUGGUACGCGAGCUGGGUUUAGAACGUCGUGAGACAGUUCGGUCCCUAUCUGCCGUGGGCGCUGGAGAAUUGAGGGGGGCUGCUCCUAGUACGAGAGGACCGGAGUGGACGCAUCACUGGUGUUCGGGUUGUCAUGCCAAUGGCACUGCCCGGUAGCUAAAUGCGGAAGAGAUAAGUGCUGAAAGCAUCUAAGCACGAAACUUGCCCCGAGAUGAGUUCUCCCUGACUCCUUGAGAGUCCUGAAGGAACGUUGAAGACGACGACGUUGAUAGGCCGGGUGUGUAAGCGCAGCGAUGCGUUGAGCUAACCGGUACUAAUGAACCGUGAGGCUUAACCUU